AUGGAAGGGGAAUAUUCUUACCUUUCUUUGUGCAGAGCUGGGUAUGGGCGCUGCCCUGCCUACCUGCCCACACAUAGGCAAGCAGCUUUCUCUUCCUCUUCUUUCUCAGAUCAACAGAUGCUAGUCAGUGACCUUCAACAUUCUGAACACAUCCAAGAUACUGAGGAACAGUCUGCUUCAGAGGGGCUGCUAAGAAAACUGAAACCAUGGCCUCUUCCCUCAUUCAAAGUGGGAUCUGUCUCUUCCCCCAUAUUACCACCACCACUGCUGGCAGCAGAACGUUUCCUUAGACCAGGGGCAAGAUGAACUAUCCUAUGAGUGGCAAAACUGUUUAUUUCUUCUGGGAAGGAAGGGAAAGGCAAGUACAAGUUCGAAAGUUAUAUCCUUAAACUGCAUACUGCAAAUGUAAGUGAAUGCUCUCCUACUUCUCCUGCUUGGCAACC
RNAcentral lists this long non-coding RNA (443 nucleotides) under Phascolarctos cinereus (koala). Its description in RNAcentral is "lncRNA (ENSPCIG00000033812.1)". Lineage: Eukaryota; Metazoa; Chordata; Mammalia; Diprotodontia; Phascolarctidae. The record is from RNAcentral.